Molecule: ribosomal RNA, 292 nt
Filed under: uncultured bacterium
Lineage: Bacteria
Description: partial 16S ribosomal RNA
Rfam family: Bacterial small subunit ribosomal RNA
Source: RNAcentral
GUGCCAGCCGCCGCGGUAAUACGGGGGGGGCAAGCGUUGUUCGGAAUUACUGGGCGUAAAGGGCUUGUAGGUGGCCAACUAAGUCAGACGUGAAAUCCCUCGGCUUAACCGGGGAACUGCGUCUGAUACUGGAUGGCUUGAGUGUGGGAGAGGGAUGCGGAAUUCCAGGUGUAGCGGUGAAAUGCGUAGAUAUCUGGAGGAACACCGGUGGCGAAGGCGGCAUCCUGGACCAUUACUGACACUGAAAAGCGAAAGCCAGGGGAGCAAACGGGAUUAGAUACCCCUGUAGUCC